This is a long non-coding RNA of Myotis brandtii (Brandt's bat), 2102 nucleotides long. RefSeq lists it as uncharacterized. The record is from RefSeq and is a predicted model, not a curated record. NCBI's taxonomy places the organism in Eukaryota, Metazoa, Chordata, Mammalia, Chiroptera, Vespertilionidae. The transcript is spliced from 3 exons.
CACAGGUGCAUUGUGGUCUGAGCUGAGCCCUCUCAGACCUGCCCGUUUCUAACGAAGUCAGCAUUGGCAUUGUGGUCGCUGAGCGUCAUUGCUGGGUCGCCAGGUCCGCCCGGGGCCGAGGAGCCUCCCCGCUGUGGGGCUUCCAGCCCUGAGACCCGCAGUCCCAGCCCCCGGCACAGUCGGUCGCCGGCAGCAGCUUCUCACUCAGUGCCCUUUUACUUUAAUAUUUAUAACGCCGUUUCCGUGCCUCGUGAGUGAUCCUAAGCCUGCACCUGUGACUCACAUGUUCUCUCACUUCCUCUCUCCUGCUCUCACAAGAGCAGGCCAUGGGCACAUAUGACUCAGUCUCAUGCUCACUGCAGCUUCGCGCUCAGCAGCGCUGACUCGGCUCCCGCCUGCAUGGCUGCGGGGCUGUGAUGGCGGGUCAGGUGGCUUCGCGGGAGGAGGCCGCUCCUGAGCAGCCAGAGGAGAACAGGGGUGACGGGGGUGCCUGUCCACACACCCUUGGGCACUCAGAGAAGGAGCCCGCGGUGAACGCAUGUCUGACCUCUGCCUUCGGGCGGGGAUGCCGGGCACGGCUCACACAACCCAUCACACUCCAGAGCGCGGUGCGCCUUUCCUGCCCUCCUACUCCGUCCCGGCCCUGCCCCACCCCCGGGCUCGGCUCCGUCUCUAAUGACUAAUUGUACUGAACGCCAUGGCUGCUCUUAGACGCGCUGGGAUCUGAACGAAGCCAUCAGACUCUCCACUGAUCACUCCAUUAGCUCCUCAACCUACUGCAAAACUUUAGCUCAAAUAGGCCAAGGAAAUAGAGUGCGCGCGCACAUAUGUGUGCGUGUGUAUGCGUGUGUGUGAGUGUGUGUAUGCGCACGUGUGUGUGUGCACGUGUGUGUGUGUGUGAGAGAGCAGAAGAGGAAGAGACCCCAAAAGCUUUAAAAUGGAGUGAAAGUUGGAGUCGGCAUCUAAACGAGGUUUGCUUCCCGGGCGAUGCUGUUUGAAAGCUCAAUAGCUGGUGUCAAAAAUAGAUUUCUCUCCCUUUCCAAGUGUGGCAAACAGAGCCACGCGCCUCGCCCAGACUCCUGCCUCUCACCCCAGAGGGUUUCUUGUGGAGGAACCAACAAUCCCUUGGACGGGAACCCUGGACGGGCCGGCCAUCAUUUUGCGAUUUGGGCGGUUGCCGGUGCCUGGCAGCCCCUGGUUGUUUGUCUAGAGUGAUAGUCAGCGGUUGGACGGAAUGCAAGAAAGCUGAUCCCGUCGCUGGCUCAGGUUCUUCGUGGACAAGAGACAAGGUUUCCUUCACUUUCGCCCAGAUGCUGGCUGCCCGGAGCGGAGCGCAGGGGAGAGCUGAGCGGAGCCUCAGCUCCAGCAGCGUUUCCUUGGCUCCCGGCUGCUCCUUCAUGGAAAAUUCCAUCCGUGGACGCUGGGCUGGGAUGUCACCGCCGCUGAAACCCUAGCCGAGCCCCUGCCUGAGCUGCGAUGGGAGCGAGCCAGGGAGAAGGGGAAGCGCAUCCCACAUAAAGGGAGGAUUGAGCGAGGGCAGUGACCCGAGAGCAGCCGGUCACCAGCCCCAGGGGGUCGGAAGGCUCCCCGAGUUUCCCCGUCUGUAGGAGCAGAAGGGAUGCCCGUUUAAAAUGUUAAAAAUGAUCAAACGUGUUUAACCUUCACCUCGGUAACUGAACUGGGUGAGGUACUGGAGGGCUUAUCAUCCCAGCGUCUGUGCUUCUGCAUCUUGUGGGAAAUUGUAAGGACACAAAGGUUUUUAGAACGUAUUUCCUUCUGUCUCAGAACCAUUCCCCACCCCCCGAGGGUAUCAGCACGCAUGCGCGGUGGGGGGGGGGCUGCUCUGCGGAGCAGGGGCUGCUCCACUGGGCAUGCGCGUGGGUGGGCCUCCGUGACCGCAACCGAGCUGAAGCCCCACUGCGUGUCAGAUCGUGCAGCUCCGCGGCCUUUAUUCUCAGCCUCGUGUCCUCAGCCGCAUCCCGGAUGGAUCAUCCGUUCAGACGCUGGGAUUCACGUGCACAAUGCAGUCAAUUGCCCGGUGACAUCUUCACUUCAUCUUAUAAAAAUAAAUAUAUAAUAUAAAUAUGAGGCUUGAAAAAUAU